Molecule: ribosomal RNA, 691 nt
Filed under: alpha proteobacterium HA-mar-Is16-14+28
Lineage: Bacteria; Pseudomonadati; Pseudomonadota; Alphaproteobacteria
Description: bacterial SSU rRNA
Rfam family: Bacterial small subunit ribosomal RNA
Source: RNAcentral
UACGGAAUAGCCUCGGCGAAACGUGAGAGUAAUACCGUAUAAGCCCUUCGGGGGAAAGAUUUAUCGGGAAAGGAUUGGCCCGCGUUAGAUUAGAUAGUUGGUGGGGUAAUGGCUCUACCAAGUCUACGAUCUAUAGCUGGUUUUAGAGGAUGAUCAGCAACACUGGGAGUGAGACACGGCCCGAGAUCUCCUACGGGAGGCAGCAGUGGGGAAUCUUAGACAAUGGGCGCAAGCCUGAUCUAGCCAUGCCGCGUGUGUGAUGAAGGUCUUAGGAUCGUAAAGCACUUUCGCCAGGGAUGAUAAUGACAGUACCUGGUAAAGAAACCCCGGCUAACUCCGUGCCAGCAGCCGCGGUAAUACGGAGGGGGUUAGCGUUGUUCGGAAUUACUGGGCGUAAAGCGUACGUAGGCGGAUUGGAAAGUUGGGGGUGAAAUCCCAGGGCUCAACCCUGGAACUGCCUCCAAAACUAUCAGUCUAGAGUUCGAGAGAGGUGAGUGGAAUUCCAAGUGUAGAGGUGAAAUUCGUAGAUAUUUGGAGGAACACCAGUGGCGAAGGCGGCUCACUGGCUCGAUACUGACGCUGAGGUACGAAAGUGUGGGGAGCAAACAGGAUUAGAUACCCUGGUAGUCCACACCGUAAACGAUGAAUGCCAGUCGUCGGGCAGUAUACUGUUCGGUGACACACCUAACGG